AUGGAUGAAGAAGAGGUUCAUAUCGCGAUCGGGAAGAAUUUCAGAAAGGAGAAAGCUAACAUACUAUGGGCUGCUGCAAAUUUCCCAAGGGCUACCAUAGUUCUUAUCCACGUUCAUUGGCCAUCCAAGUGGAUGCCCUUCAUGGGUGGAAAGCUGCUAUACAAGUUUGCAGAUGAAAAGGAGAAGGAGAUGCAUAGAGGUAGAGAAACGGAGGCAAUGGUCAAGAUGCUAUCACAAUAUAAAAGCCUAUGUGAUGAUACAAGAGAGGUUAGGGCACAUUACCUUACACAUGAUGACAUUCUUACUGGUGUUGUAAACCUGGUAAAGAAGCUCAAAGUCAAGAGAAUUGUCAUCGGGUCAAGGAACAUGUCAAAGAAAGCGGUUCUUCGUAAAUGCUCUCAGGUUUGGGUGGUGAUUAAUGGCAAAUAUCUGUCCACUAGCAAUGAUCAUCUGGAGCAUACUGGAGGCACUGGAUAUGGAGGGAGCUCUGAGUUUUUGCCAUCUAUGCAUGAGCUGAGCGACGAAUCUGAUGGCUAUGCAACACCACCAAGUGAUUUUUAUGUAUCAUUUCAGGAAGACGAUGUCGUGGAUGAGGAUGGGGUGAUUCCAAUGGAUGGUGAUGAACAAUUGGAAAAGUAUGAUGUGCAGGAAGCUGAACAAGGCAUUUUGGAAAUAAAUGCUUCUGAGUUAGUGGGCAAAAUUUCUGGUGAUGACAUACGGAAUUCCAGAAAUAUGAGUGAAGAGUCUGAAAAAUUGAUGGAGGAAAUGGAAAAACUACAAAGGAAAUUGAAAGAGCUGCAAGAUGAGGGGUAUAAUUAUGAAGAAAGCAUCUUGUCGCCAAGAAGAAAGAAUGUAUUGUUGAAGGAGAAAACGUUACCAAAACAAAGAUACCCAGAGCUGCAAAUCCCAGAACAUAUUGUGCAGUACUCCAUGUCGCGUAUUGGGAAAGCGACCAAUAACUUCUACUCAAGAAACCUCAUAGGGGAAGGAGGCUAUGGCCUAGUGUACAAAGGAAAACUAGGUGGUAUGCCAGUGGCUAUCAAGCUGUUGAGACCCCAUGGUAAACACCAUGGUAGACAAGGUUUUCCAGAGUAUCAGCAGGAGGUCGUUGUGCUGAGCAGAGUCAAGCACCCACACAUCGUGAAGCUGAUCGGCGUGUGCCCGGAAUCAUGCGGCCUCGUCUACGAGUACCUCCCCAACGGCACACUCAUGGACGGGCUCUCCAAGGGGCUUCCAUGGAAGGACCGUAUCAGGAUCCUCAGCGAACAGCGUUCCGCGCUGGCGCACCUCCACUCGAGCCGACCCCACGCCAUCAUCCACGCGGACCUGAAGCUGACGAACAUCCUCCUCGAUGCCGGGAACGUGAGCCGGCUAGGAGACUUCGGGACGGCGCGCGUAGUGCAGAUGAAGCCGCUGGAGGAGGACACCAUCUGCCGGCGGACGAACCCGAUGGGCACGAUGGGGUACAUGGACCCCGUCUUCUUCACGACAGGCGAGCUCACUGCAGAGUCGGACGUCUACGCGUUCGGCGUGGUGAUCCUGCAGGUCCUCACGGGGCUGCUCGACCUCAACAUCGUCGAGCAGGUGCAGGAGGCGAUGAAGAUGGACGCCGUGCACGGCCUGCUGGACGCCUCCGCUGGCACCUGGCCAGAGGUGCAGGCGGAGCGGCUCAUGCGACUGGCGCUGAGGUGCUGCAACCUGGAGCGGAACCGGCGGCCAGCUGCCACCUCUGACGCCGACUGGCGAUCGCUGGACAUCCUGCGGACCAUGGCGACUGCAAGUAAAUCCCGGAAAUGGAGUCAUGCAAACUGA
RNAcentral lists this ribosomal RNA (1812 nucleotides) under Triticum aestivum (bread wheat). RNAcentral's name for it is "partial small subunit ribosomal RNA". Lineage: Eukaryota; Viridiplantae; Streptophyta; Magnoliopsida; Poales; Poaceae. The record is from RNAcentral.